GAUGAACGCUGGCGGCGUGCCUAAUACAUGCAAGUCGAGCGAACAGAUGAGGAGCUUGCUCCUCUGACGUUAGCGGCGGACGGGUGAGUAACACGUGGAUAACCUACCUAUAAGACUGGGAUAACUUCGGGAAACCGGAGCUAAUACCGGAUAAUAUAUUGAACCGCAUGGUUCAAUAGUGAAAGACGGUUUUGCUGUCACUUAUAGAUGGAUCCGCGCCGCAUUAGCUAGUUGGUAAGGUAACGGCUUACCAAGGCAACGAUGCGUAGCCGACCUGAGAGGGUGAUCGGCCACACAGGAAGUGAGACACGGUCCAGACUCCUACGGGAGGCAGAAGUAGGGAAUCGUCCGCAAUGGGCGAAAGCCUGACGGAGCAACGCCGCGUGAGUGAUGAAGGUCUUCGGAUCGUAAAACUCUGUUAUUAGGGAAGAACAAAUGUGUAAGUAACUAUGCACGUCUGGACGGUACCUAAGCAGAAAGCCACGGCUAACUACGU
Molecule: ribosomal RNA, 496 nt
Filed under: uncultured bacterium
Lineage: Bacteria
Description: partial 16S ribosomal RNA
Rfam family: Bacterial small subunit ribosomal RNA
Source: RNAcentral